Molecule: long non-coding RNA, 281 nt
Filed under: Lathyrus oleraceus (garden pea)
Lineage: Eukaryota; Viridiplantae; Streptophyta; Magnoliopsida; Fabales; Fabaceae
Description: Pisum sativum (pea) long non-coding RNA (PSAT_LNC033132)
Source: RNAcentral
UCUAUUUUCUUUCUUUAAUUCUUUUAUUCAUUUUUUAUUCUGUUUUGAUUUAAUUAAUAAAAAAUAUUUUAUUUAUUCAUAAAAAUACCAAAAAAUAUAUUUUACAUUCUUUAAUGUUUUAUUUAAUUUAUUUAAUUUUUAUUUUCUUAUUUUAUUUAAUGUUAAUAUUUUAUUUCAAUUAUUUAUUUCAAAUAGUCCUUUUAAGUACACUUUUUUUUAUUUUUUUUAUUUACAUGACUUAAAAUUAUUUUUAGAUUCUGAUUUUUGGGAUGAGGGUUGAC